Long non-coding RNA from Cynoglossus semilaevis (tongue sole), 3180 nucleotides. RefSeq lists it as uncharacterized. The transcript has 2 exons. The record is from RefSeq and is a predicted model, not a curated record. Lineage: Eukaryota; Metazoa; Chordata; Actinopteri; Pleuronectiformes; Cynoglossidae.
UAAUGAAUCCACUUCCUGCUGUACCAGGUCAUUUCCUGUUCACUCACUCUUCCUGGUUGCACUGAAAGAUAUACUUGACAUAUGCUGUUCACAUGCUUUGAAGCUCAUCCACAGCCAUCCGUGUGGAAAACACUGUUGAGGCAAUGGCUGCUCUGUUGGCUGCCUCUCAGGGAGGUCAGAAGUUCAGGGCAGAUAGACAUGGGCACGUGGUCAGCGGUAAUCACACACAGGCUGAGGAGCCACUCAGGUCAGCUCUGUCGGGAACAGCAGGCUGCAGCCGUCACAGACAAAUAAAUAGAUAAAUGGAUGGAGAGGAAAUUUCGGAGCAAGAGAGAGUAACGUCAGACCAUCCAUCUCUUUCCACAUAGGUGGGACAGAGUGAUGAAUUUCCACUGGCAUCGUCGGAGUACUAGUAUCUAAGACCACGUCUCUAAAACUGCCAGUGUGCAUGAAUAAUUCAUUAAAGCUGAGUUAUUCAGGUACAAAUCUACCAACUUCAAAACUAUUUUUUCUGACAACUAUCAAAACAUUUUCACCCCAUUAAAAAUUCUCUUAGGGAAGCACAGGCAGUAAAAUAGACAGGGAAAGUACACUCCCACAAGACGGGCACCUGAAAUAGACCGAGUCAGAGGAAGUGGGGCAGUUGUAACAUUACCAUGAAUUACGGAGCAAAUGAGCAGCUAAAAAUAUAAAAAACACAAAGAGGGGAGAUAAUAUGGGAGAAUGGCACAUUAAACCCAAGCACACUUUGGUAAGUAAUGGCCUUUCGGCAGGAAGUCACGGUCUCUUAGUGCCAAUGAAGCCUUUAUCUGUUCAACCAUUUGUCAUUUCCCUCAGCACCAGAAUGGGAACAGCCUGUACGCAGGAGCCAAAAGUACUAGUGUGAUGUUUGCAGAAAUAAAUGGGGUUACUCUGCAGGGGCUAUGCAAACAAAUUAAAUGUGUGUGUGUGUGUAUGUGCACAUCUGUUUGUUUGUGUGCGUGUGUAUGGUCUUUUGCUCUGAAGCAAUGCACCUAACAGCAGGUGUCUGCAGAAAAUAUGUCAAAGCUCACUUUAACAAAACUCUGUGAUAAUAAAACCAAACUUUUCAAGAUUUUUUUUUUUUCAAAUUAUUGUACAUGAGCAGACAUGGGCAAACUACGGUUUGGGGGCUUGGUGCGGCUCGUUCAGUUAUUUAAUCUGAUCCGCCAAACUUUUCCAAAUUAUAUAAUUUAUUUAUAAUAUCAUUAUACUUCUGCAUUUUCCUUCUGCAAUACCCACGUUUCCCCAAUAAAUGAAGAUGAUAGUAGAAGAUGAUAAAAUCAUUUUAGCCUUUAUGCAUGACUUUUACAUGUUAUUUAUCUUAAUUCACAGAAACGCUCCAUCUAUCUGCUCCUGACCCGGCCCCCCUGUUCAAUUUUAGGACAAUUGUGCCCCGUGAGUCAAAAGGUUUGCCCACGCCUGUACUUGAGCAUCAUAUUUUUGAACUCUCAGCAAGCAUGUAACAAGAAAAGUAGAAUUGAAUUAGUACAUGUACAGGCAUGACAUCACAUUGUCUUUUGACGCGCCCCACUUUUACUUCACGGCCACUAUUCUUUACCCUAAUCUUCCUCCACUCUUCCUCUCCUCUUGUAUAGAGUGUUCCACCGUGUCUUCCCUCACCGUAUCCUCCCUUCCUCCUCCCUCCCGUGCUGCUGUCUCUCUGGCUAUCACGGUCUCUGAAGGGAAUACCCUGACAUUUGAUGUGACAUGAAACUGGAUGUCUAUAGCCAUUCUCACAUCGAUGCCCUUGUGAAGUGUAAUCCAUGCUGCGACUAAUUGAGUGACACAGCAGCAGCCCGAGGGAGUGAACCGGUCGCUCCUGGUGAAGAUGUGUCUCUGACCUGUUUUUGUUCAUUUGUUUCUCAGACAAAUUGGGAGUUUUAUUCCUCUUAGCGCUCUCUUGUCAACGUUGUACGGUGUUGCGUCCUGUUGAAUGUGACCUUGCGUGUCUUUAACAAUCUGAACAACAGGGAAGCUAUUUUUGCUAUAAUAUGUCAUAUAUUCUACAAAAUAGGUCAACACUGUUUUAAAAUGACAUAAGGGCCCUGUGCACUCGGCGAACCUGAGAGUGGUCCACACACUUUUCAGUGGCUGUUGCUGGAUGACUCACCACGUCUAUGUCACCUGUCUGACCAUCACUUUCUCACCAGUCAUUAAUUUAACCUGUUACAGUCCGCAUGCACACACAAAAAAAGCAUUUCCUUUCCUGUCACUAGAUUUUAUUCUCACUAAAUGCCUACGUCCCAAAUCUUUGUCACGCUCAAUGCUUUUGAAGAUCACACAUCUUUGGUUUUUGCAUUGGAUUUUAAGAUAAAUAACACAGUUACUUCUCCACAAAAAACUUUAUGUGUGUGUGUGUGUGUGUCUGUGUGCAGGCUAAAACACCUACACCGAGAACUGUGCUCUCACACACCCCUUGUAAAAUAUACAAACCCACAAGCGUGGAUUUUAAAACACAGACAGGGAUCCAGAAGUGUCCAUUUACUCGCUCGACCCUCAGGUUGGCUGUGGCACAUAGUAACAACCUCUUAAUUACUUUGUCAAUGACAGGCGGGUGGCAAAUGACGGCACAAUGGCAGGCACAGCACAACGGAGGGGAAUAAUGAAUGGACCCCAGAUGAACACAAACAUGACAUACAUACCUGCAGGAUUUCCUUCACCAGGCUCCCCCCUGCCUUGCGCUCCUGUCUCCCUCUUUGUGAAGAGCCUGUUUCUGGAGGAGAGACUGUUCCCCCUUAUCGAGUCGGAGACCAGGGCUCAGCUGCAGAGACUGACAUCAUCCCUUUCAGGAGGCUUUCCCCCUCCCACUAUCUGCACCCUCUCCUUCUCGUUCUGCCUUUGUCUCUCUCUCUCUCCCUCUCUCUCGCUUCCGUUACUCUACCGCUCACUCUGUACAGUAGUACGCUCCUCCUAUCUCCUCCUCCUCUGCUUCACCUUUUUAAUUCUGCUCGUUCUUGGCGUCUUCUUUAUUCGGUUCCACUGCAAUUUCUCACCACAUAAGAGAAAGUUGCACUUAAACUGUGGAUUUAUUCACACAGCUGAUAAAGUAUAACUUUAUCUGUAGUUUAUGUCUGGACUACUAUAAUACAGCCCCCAGGAUUAAAGAUUUUCCUAUGAUAAAUUAUUGGACAUAUAUAUUUAAAUGAAUAAAACAUGUUU